RNAcentral lists this ribosomal RNA (607 nucleotides) under Pseudomonas sp. RNAcentral describes it as "bacterial SSU rRNA". It matches the Rfam family "Bacterial small subunit ribosomal RNA", at positions 9 to 655 of the family's 1533-position model. Lineage: Bacteria; Pseudomonadati; Pseudomonadota; Gammaproteobacteria; Pseudomonadales; Pseudomonadaceae. The record is from RNAcentral.
GAGUUUGAUCAUGGCUCAGGAGGNGGACCNCUUCGCACGCUGACGAGUGGCGAACGNGUGAGUAAUACAUCGGAACGUGCCCAGUCGUGGGGGAUAACUACUCGAAAGAGUAGCUAAUACCGCAUACGAUCUGAGGAUGAAAGCGGGGGACCUUCGGGCUCGCGCGAUUGGAGCGGCCGAUGGCAGAUUAGGUAGUUGGUGGGAUAAAGCUUACCAAGCCGACGAUCUGUAGCUGGUCUGAGAGGACGACCAGCCACACUGGGACUGAGACACGGCCCAGACUCCUACGGGAGGCAGCAGUGGGGAAUUUUGGACAAUGGGCGAAAGCCUGAUCCAGCAAUGCCGCGUGCAGGAUGAAGGCUUCGGGUUGUAAACUGCUUUUGUACGGAACGAAAAAGCUUCUCCUAAUACGAGAGGCCCAUGACGGUACCGUAAGAAUAAGCACCGGCUAACUACGUGCCAGCAGCCGCGGUAAUACGUAGGGUGCGAGCGUUAAUCGGAAUUACUGGGCGUAAAGCGUGCGCAGGCGGUUAUGUAAGACAGAUGUGAAAUCCCCGGGCUCAACCUGGGAACUGCAUUUGUGACUGCAUGGCUAGAGUACGGUANA